Molecule: ribosomal RNA, 366 nt
Filed under: Triticum aestivum (bread wheat)
Lineage: Eukaryota; Viridiplantae; Streptophyta; Magnoliopsida; Poales; Poaceae
Description: partial small subunit ribosomal RNA
Source: RNAcentral
AUGUCGCUUGCUCUCCCGCUAGCCUCUGCCUGCUCUGGUCUCGAAGUUGAUGACACCCUGAUGCAAAGCUUCCACAAUCAUCCGCUCCGUCUCAGCAGGAGGAGAGCAAUGGAAAUAACACCCCGUCGUGGUCCUGGUGCUUCUCUCCGUGGGUUCGCUUGCUCACCUCGGCGUUUGCGGCUUCUACAGGAAGGACUGAGCAGCCAUUGUGCUGGAGUAGACUGUGUGACAGGUUUUUUCCUCUCUCUCCUACCCGUGAUUGGUUUCUUUGGUGAAGAAAGCAUCACUGUCUUUCAAUACAUCAUGGAUGCUCAACCUGUAUGUCUACAUGGUACAAGAAUGAAGAUUAACCAUUCAAUCUAUUGA